GCAGAGGGACAGGCGUUCGCUGAGUCGCAGGAUUCAGAGGAAAGUCCGGGCUCCAUAGGACACGAUGGUGGGUAACGCCCACCGUCCGCGAGGAUCGGGCAAGUGCAACAGAAAGCAAACCGCCGAUCGGCAGGACCGAAAGGUUCUGCAGGAGGUAAGGGUGAAACGGUGCGGUAAGAGCGCACCAGCGGUUCGGGUGACCGAGCCGGCUGGGUAAACCCCAUUGGGAGCAAGGCCAAGCAGAAGGGACGGCAGUCUUCGGACUGCCACGAAUCUGUCCGAUUCGUCAUACCUUCGGGUCGGCUGCUUGAGGUGUCGAGUAAUCGACAUCCCAGAGAAAUGAACGCCCGCGACAGAACCCGGCUUAUCGUCCCUCUGCCGGC
RNAcentral lists this RNase P RNA (383 nucleotides) under Fuerstiella sp. RNAcentral's name for it is "Bacterial RNase P class A". It matches the Rfam family "Bacterial RNase P class A". From Rfam's summary of the family: Ribonuclease P (RNase P) is a ubiquitous endoribonuclease, found in archaea, bacteria and eukarya as well as chloroplasts and mitochondria. Its best characterised activity is the generation of mature 5'-ends of tRNAs by cleaving the 5'-leader elements of precursor-tRNAs. Cellular RNase Ps are ribonucleoproteins. Lineage: Bacteria; Pseudomonadati; Planctomycetota; Planctomycetia; Planctomycetales; Planctomycetaceae. The record is from Rfam by way of RNAcentral.